RNAcentral lists this unclassified non-coding RNA (298 nucleotides) under Hevea brasiliensis (rubber tree). Lineage: Eukaryota; Viridiplantae; Streptophyta; Magnoliopsida; Malpighiales; Euphorbiaceae. The record is from RNAcentral.
UUUAGACGAUGUGGUAAUGGGUGGAGUGAGUGAAAGUUCAUUCCAAAUCGACAUGAAAGGUGGUGAAAAUGGUGGACCAACUGGAGUUUUUAAAGGUGUUGUUUCAACUACAAACAAUGGUGGCUUUACUAGUAUUCGAACAAGGAAUUUUUCUGUUCCAGAAGAUCUUUCUGCUUAUGAUGGAUUGGAGUUACGUCUCAAAGGUGAUGGCCGUCGGUAUAAACUGAUUGUGCGCACGAGCACAGAUUGGGAUACUGUUGGUUAUACAGCCGGCUUUGACACUGCAAAAGGCCAAUGG